This 381-nucleotide ribosomal RNA is filed under the name uncultured eukaryote. RNAcentral describes it as "partial 18S ribosomal RNA". It matches the Rfam family "Eukaryotic small subunit ribosomal RNA", at positions 592 to 976 of the family's 1831-position model. The record is from RNAcentral.
CAAUAGCGUAUAUUAAAGCUGUUGCGGUUAAAAAGCUCGUAGUUGGAUUUCUGUCAAGGACAACUGGUCCGCCCUCCGGGUGAGCACAUAGUUUGGUCUUGGCAUCUUGCUGGAAACUGUUGCUGCGCUUGGUUGUGUGGUGCAGCUUUCAGCACUUUCACUUUGAGGAAAUUGGAGUGUUUCAAGCAGGCACAUGCCUUUGGACACAGUAGCAUGGAAUAAUUAGGUUGGGCUUUUGCUCCAACUUGUUGGUUCCUGGAGCUGAGGUGAGAAUCAAUGGGGAUUGUUGGGGGCAUCCGAAUUUAGCCGUCAGAGGUGAAAUUCUUGGAUCUGCUAAAGACGGACAACUGCGAAAGCGUUUGCCCAGGAUGUUUUCAUUGA